AUUAAACGCUGGCGGCAUGCCUUACACAUGCAAGUCGAACGGCAGCACGGGGGCAACCCUGGUGGCGAGUGGCGAACGGGUGAGUAAAGCAUCGGAACGUGCCCUGGAGUGGGGGAUAACGUAGCGAAAGUUACGCUAAUACCGCAUAUUCUGUGAGCAGGAAAGCAGGGGAUCGCAAGACCUUGCGCUCUGGGAGCGGCCGAUGUCGGAUUAGCUAGUUGGUGGGGUAAAGGCCUACCAAGGCGACGAUCCGUAGCGGGUCUGAGAGGAUGAUCCGCCACACUGGGACUGAGACACGGCCCAGACUCCUACGGGAGGCAGCAGUGGGGAAUUUUUGGACAAUGGGCGGAAGCCUGAUCCAGCCAUGCCGCGUGAGUGAAGAAGGCCUCGGUUGUAAG
Molecule: ribosomal RNA, 398 nt
Filed under: uncultured bacterium
Lineage: Bacteria
Description: bacterial SSU rRNA
Rfam family: Bacterial small subunit ribosomal RNA
Source: RNAcentral